RNAcentral lists this ribosomal RNA (113 nucleotides) under Phascolarctos cinereus (koala). Lineage: Eukaryota; Metazoa; Chordata; Mammalia; Diprotodontia; Phascolarctidae. The record is from RNAcentral.
GUCUAAGGCCACAUCAAAUGUAUGUAAUGGUACCUUAUCUUGGAAGCUAAGUUGGAUUGGUUCUAGCAAAUUCUUCAAUGGAGACCACCUGGGAAUCCCAGGUGCCAUAGACU